GUCUACAGCCAUGCCACCCUGAACAAGCCAGAUCCUGUCUGAUCUCAGAAGCUAAGCAGGGUCGAGCCUGGUUGGUACUUGGAUGGGAGAUCACCUAGGAAGAGUAUGUGCUGUAAAUG
Molecule: ribosomal RNA, 119 nt
Filed under: Pteropus alecto (black flying fox)
Lineage: Eukaryota; Metazoa; Chordata; Mammalia; Chiroptera; Pteropodidae
Source: RNAcentral